This 499-nucleotide ribosomal RNA is filed under the name Salmonella enterica subsp. enterica serovar Typhimurium. RNAcentral describes it as "bacterial SSU rRNA". It matches the Rfam family "Bacterial small subunit ribosomal RNA", at positions 150 to 649 of the family's 1533-position model. Lineage: Bacteria; Pseudomonadati; Pseudomonadota; Gammaproteobacteria; Enterobacterales; Enterobacteriaceae. The record is from RNAcentral.
GGGGAAACUCGAAUUAAUACCGCAUACGACCUACGGGUGAAAGGGGGCGCAAGCUCUUGCUAUUAGAUGAGCCUAAAUCAGAUUAGCUAGUUGGUGGGGUAAAGGCCCACCAAGGCGACGAUCUGUAACUGGUCUGAGAGGAUGAUCAGUCACACCGGAACUGAGACACGGUCCGGACUCCUACGGGAGGCAGCAGUGGGGAAUAUUGGACAAUGGGGGCAACCCUGAUCCAGCCAUGCCGCGUGUGUGAAGAAGGCCUUUUGGUUGUAAAGCACUUUAAGCAGGGAGGAGAGGCUAAUGGUUAAUACCCAUUAGAUUAGACGUUACCUGCAGAAUAAGCACCGGCUAACUCUGUGCCAGCAGCCGCGGUAAUACAGAGGGUGCGAGCGUUAAUCGGAAUUACUGGGCGUAAAGCGAGUGUAGGUGGCUCAUUAAGUCACAUGUGAAAUCCCCGGGCUUAACCUGGGAACUGCAUGUGAUACUGGUGGUGCUAGAAUAU